This is a non-coding RNA of Potamilus streckersoni, 73 nucleotides long. The record is from the annotation of a GenBank genome assembly. NCBI's taxonomy places the organism in Eukaryota, Metazoa, Mollusca, Bivalvia, Unionida, Unionidae.
ACUCCGGUGGCCUAGUGGUUAGCGCGACCGCCUCGGCUGCGGGAGGUCAUGGGUUCUAUUCCCGGUCGAAUCU